Molecule: transfer RNA, 61 nt
Filed under: Salmonella enterica subsp. enterica serovar Typhimurium
Lineage: Bacteria; Pseudomonadati; Pseudomonadota; Gammaproteobacteria; Enterobacterales; Enterobacteriaceae
Description: tRNA-Val
Source: RNAcentral
GGGUGAUUAGCUCAGCUGGGAGAGCACCUCCCUUACAAGGAGGGGGUCGGUCGUUAGCUCA